UGAAGUUGGCAAAUACCAGAGGCUUUAUGCUGAUUUGAUGUGAAACUUUGCACGAAUUAACAAUCCAAAGCGUCAAUCUGCAUGCACCGCAAACCACAUCUUUGACAAACAGAUGUGAUUUGUGUCUACAAAGAUAGGUUUUUCUAUCCCAAAAUAAAGUUUCGAUACCAGUAAUAAAUGUUUCAACGCGGCUGUUCGACACAAAUCAAUGGAGAGGCAGCUUAGGUCAAAUAGGUUACCGGUAUGUUUCUGGCCACGUUUAAAGAGGGCCGGUCAAAGGAAAAUACAUUUAAUGUUUUAAAGGAAAAUCAGUACGGGGGGACAGCAACCUAAAGUGGAUUUUCAGACGUAUGCACAGCAUUCAGCAGCCAAAGUAACACAACCACCAGCCCCCAGAUUAAUUAGUGAUGUUAUUUUUUUUUCUGUCUUAGAUGAAGGAACCUCUCACCUUCUCCGCUCUAAACGACCUUGUUUAGUUCCCCCACGAACAAGGGCACGCAAGAGACACACAGCGAAGCGAUAUUCGAUACGCGCCUGAUCAGUGGUUACUUGGUCUGCCCAACACACAAAUUCGUCCGUGCAUUCCUCACUUUAUUGUCCUUUUCGUACUGCACUUGUUUUCUAUUCUGCACAAGAACAAUAUCACCGUGGAGCAAGUUCGCCCAUAUUUUGAAGCGCUUGCCAACCAGAAAGUAACAGGAAGGUGUUUCCUGUUAGUUGGACCAUCGCUUUUAGCACUCUGAUAUCACUCCGCCAUCUCCUCUCCUAUUGGAUGCGCCUUUUGGCAUCACGGUGGCACUGCUCUCAAAUGUAAAAAUUCUUACAUAUAAAUAGCACAUAUAAAAAUGUGGAUUAAAUAUGGGUUCCAAGCCAAAAAAAAAACUACGAGUUCAGAUAUGGGGAUAUCAAAGACAAACGGUUGCUUUUUUUGGGACUGCAGUGUCGACAUUGGAGACGUCAGGGGCCUCCAUGUUUGGGUUUACAGAAAACCCACACGCGCUGAGCAAUAUUUUUUGACUCACAUCACCCACUGGAACACAAAGUGGGUAUUACUGGAACCUAAAGUCUCAGACUGAUCAUGUUCCUACCAGCCCAGUGGCCAAAGACAAAGAACUGAGGCACCUGAGGCAGGCCCUCAAAACCUGUGGCUAUGACCAGAAAGUCAUUUCUAAAAAGUGUAUCGAGUUCCACAAGGAACAAGCGCAAGGUGGAUGAAGAAGAAAAGAAUGAAACGUCUUCUAAGACAACCUGAACAGUCCAGUUUACAGGAGAGGCAAUGCUUGGAGAAUGAAAUUAACUGGACGAAUGAAAAUAUUCACAGGCAUCUUUAUUCAGUAAUAUAUUUUGAAAUUUGAUAUGUAUUAACCUAAAAUUAAACACUAACAACGGUGAUUUAUGAUUCAGUGCGUGAUCGAAAAUCAGAAUCAUGAAGGUGAAGCAUUUUCGUUUGAUUCUUGCCAAUUAUUCCACACAACAAGCAUGUUGUUAACAUUUCAAGAGAUUUUUUUCAAUAAAUG
Long non-coding RNA from Hippocampus comes (tiger tail seahorse), 1517 nucleotides. RefSeq lists it as uncharacterized. NCBI's taxonomy places the organism in Eukaryota, Metazoa, Chordata, Actinopteri, Syngnathiformes, Syngnathidae. The record is from RefSeq and is a predicted model, not a curated record. The transcript is spliced from 2 exons.